Molecule: small RNA, 957 nt
Filed under: Pan troglodytes (chimpanzee)
Lineage: Eukaryota; Metazoa; Chordata; Mammalia; Primates; Hominidae
Description: processed transcript
Source: RNAcentral
CCCCGCUGCAGGCUGAUCUGGGAAAGCCUCUGGCCCAGGGCAGAUACCGCCAUGGCCUUCCUGAUGCACCUGCUGGUCUGCGUCUUCGGAAUGGGCUCCUGGGUGACCAUCAAUGGGCUCUGGGUAGAGCUGCCCCUGCUGGUGAUGGAGCUGCCCGAGGGCUGGUACCUGCCCUCCUACCUCACGGUGGUCAUCCAGCUGGCCAACAUCGGGCCCCUCCUGGUCACCCUGCUCCAUCGCUUCCGGCCCAGCUGCCUUUCCGAAGUGCCCAUCAUCUUCACCCUGCUGGGCGUGGGAACCGUCACCUGCAUCAUCUUUGCCUUCCUCUGGAAUAUGACCUCCUGGGUGCUGGACGGCCACCACAGCAUCGCCUUCUUGGUCCUCACCUUCUUCCUGGCCCUGGUGGACUGCACCUCUUCGGUGACCUUCCUGCCGUUCAUGAGCCGGCUGCCCACCUACUACCUCACCACCUUCUUUGUGGGUGAAGGACUCAGUGGCCUCUUGCCUGCCCUGGUGGCUCUUGCCCAGGGCUCGGGUCUCACUACCUGCGUCAAUGUCACUGAGAUAUCAGACAGCGUACCAAGCCCUGUACCCACGAGGGAGACUGACAUCGCACAGGUCUCUGCUGUUCCUGGGGGUCCUCUCCAUGCUUGGGACCUGCUUUGGGGGCUACAACAUGGCCAUGGCGGUGAUGAGCCCCUGCCCCCUCUUGCAGGGCCACUGGGGUGGGGAAGUCCUCAUUGUGGCCUCGUGGGUGCUUUUCAGCGGCUGCCUCAGUUACGUCAAGGUGAUGCUGGGCGUGAUCCUGCGCGACCUCAGCCGCAGCGCCCUCUUGUGGUGCGGGGCGGCGGUGCAGCUGGGCUCGCUGCUCGGAGCGCUGCUCAUGUUCCCUCUGGUCAACGUGCUGCGGCUCUUCUCGUCCGCUGACUUCUGCAAUCUGCACUGUCACGCCUAGGC